AAUGAACGUUGGCGGCGUGGAUUAGGCAUGCAAGUCGUGCGCGAAUCGUAGCAAUACGAGGAGAGCGGCGAAAGGGAGAGGAUAGCAUAGAUACCUACCCUCGGACCUGGGAUAGCUAUGGGAAACUAUAGGUAAUACCAGAUAAUGUCUCCGGACCAAAGGUGUGAUUCCGUCCGGGGAGGGGUCUAUGUCCUAUUAGCUUGUUGGUGAGGUAACGGCUCACCAAGGCAAAGAUGGGUACGAGGCGUGAGAGCGUGUCCUCGCUCACUGGGACUGAGACACUGCCCAGACACCUACGGGUGGCUGCAGUCGAGAAUCUUCGGCAAUGGGCGCAAGCCUGACCGAGCGACGCCGCGUGUGGGAUGAAGGCCUUCGGGUUGUAAACCACUGUCAGUGCGGAGGAAAUAUAGUGGGGUUCUCCCCAUUAUUUGACCUAUGCGCAGAGGAAGGACGGGCUAAGUUCGUGCCAGCAGCAGCCGCCG
This 482-nucleotide ribosomal RNA is filed under the name uncultured bacterium. RNAcentral describes it as "partial 16S ribosomal RNA". It matches the Rfam family "Bacterial small subunit ribosomal RNA", at positions 29 to 523 of the family's 1533-position model. The record is from RNAcentral.